Molecule: ribosomal RNA, 883 nt
Filed under: uncultured organism
Description: bacterial SSU rRNA
Rfam family: Bacterial small subunit ribosomal RNA
Source: RNAcentral
CCUGGCUCAGGAUGAACGCUGGCGGUCUGCUUAACACAUGCAAGUCGAACGCAACCUUCGGGUUGAGUGGCGGACGGGUGAGUAACGCGUGAGAAUCUGCCUUGGGGUCGGGGACAACCACUGGAAACGGUGGCUAAUACCGGAUAAGCCUUUGGGUAAAAAAUUUAUUGCCCCAAGAGGAGCUCGCGUCUGAUUAGCUAGUUGGUGAGGUAAAAGCUCACCAAGGCAGCGAUCAGUAGCUGGUCUGAGAGGACGAUCAGCCACACUGGGACUGAGACACGGCCCAGACUCCUACGGGAGGCAGCAGUGGGGAAUUUUCCGCAAUGGGCGAAAGCCUGACGGAGCAAGACCGCGUGAGGGAGGAAGGCUCUUGGGUUGUAAACCUCUUUUCUCAGGGAAGAAGCUCUGACGGUACCUGAGGAAUCAGCCUCGGCUAACUCCGUGCCAGCAGCCGCGGUAAUACGGAGGAGGCAAGCGUUAUCCGGAAUUAUUGGGCGUAAAGCGUCCGCAGGUGGCGAUUCAAGUCUGCUGUCAAAGCACGGGGCUUAACUCCGUUAAGGCAGUGGAAACUGAAUAGCUAGAGUGCCGUAGGGGUGGAGGGAAUUCCCGGUGUAGCGGUGAAAUGCGUAGAGAUCGGGAAGAACAUCGGUGGCGAAAGCGCUCUACUGGACGGCAACUGACACUCAGGGACGAAAGCUAGGGGAGCGAAUGGGAUUAGAUACCCCAGUAGUCCUAGCUGUAAACGAUGGAUACUAGGUGCAGCUUGUAUCGACCCGAGCUGUGCCGAAGCUAACGCGUUAAGUAUCCCGCCUGGGGAGUACGCACGCAAGUGUGAAACUCAAAGGAAUUGACGGGGGCCCGCACAAGCGGUGGAGUAUGUGGU